AAUAAAAUAUUUGAAAUUAUGCAGUGUGUUCUCUGACCACCAUGGAAACAACCUAAAAACAAGUAACAGAAAGAUAAAGGAAAAUCUC
This is a long non-coding RNA of Mustela erminea (ermine), 88 nucleotides long. RefSeq lists it as uncharacterized. The transcript is spliced from 4 exons. Lineage: Eukaryota; Metazoa; Chordata; Mammalia; Carnivora; Mustelidae. The record is from RefSeq and is a predicted model, not a curated record.